This is a microRNA precursor of Nomascus leucogenys (northern white-cheeked gibbon), 100 nucleotides long. Lineage: Eukaryota; Metazoa; Chordata; Mammalia; Primates; Hylobatidae. The record is from Ensembl.
UGAGGCAGGAGAAUUGCUUGAACCCAGGAAGUGGAGGUUGCAGUAAGCUGAGAUCGCACCACUGUACUCCAGCCUGGGUGACACAGCAAGACUCGGUCUC